CUUCAGCGAACCGAGCAGCAGCGGCCGUUCCGGAUCGCGGUCCUGGCCGUAGGUGGCCAGCAGCGCCUGCGCCUC
Molecule: non-coding RNA, 75 nt
Organism: Nocardia asteroides NBRC 15531
Lineage: Bacteria; Bacillati; Actinomycetota; Actinomycetes; Mycobacteriales; Nocardiaceae
Rfam family: ASpks TB sRNA
Source: Rfam